RNAcentral lists this long non-coding RNA (5011 nucleotides) under Setaria italica (foxtail millet). RNAcentral describes it as "long non-coding RNA (SITA_LNC005842)". Lineage: Eukaryota; Viridiplantae; Streptophyta; Magnoliopsida; Poales; Poaceae. The record is from RNAcentral.
UUGAAAUCAGAGAAAUAACACCAAUUGAUUAUUUGAUUGGCUCUACACACUUCUCCAUACUUUUUUAUUAUUGGUGUGAGUGUUGUUUUAGUUAGAUGAGAUUUAUUAGGAGGUAAAGGACACUCUUCGUGGGACAAAUUGUAGAAUCUAAAAGGACACUCUUUGCGGGAUGUAGGGAGUAUAUCUCAUAGACAAUGAACUAUAUGAAUCAGCAGUAACCAUUGUUUGAUCAACUAAAGCAUGACCUAUCAUAUAAGGCUAAUUUAAAUUCUGAUCAAUCAGACAUUUCAUGAUUUGACUAUUUGUAUUUCUAAUUCUGGAGAGUGGAUAUAAGAAACUAUGUCACUAUUAUGAAAACACCCUGAGAGAUGCACAUUUUCUAGAUACCUACUCCCACUCUACUAUGACACCUCUCCAUGCCCUCCAAGCAGCUGGCCUCUAAUUUCUCCUGGAUGUAAGGUUUCUUAGCCUCAUUCGUGGUGUCUCUGUCCACGCGAAACACGCGUGUGCAGAUACAUGUACAGAUGCACUAUCGCUUUCCUGACAUAGAGUCCUGAUCCGUCCAUAGAACCAUCUGUGUCCUCGUGGUCCACGGGAGGAUAGCUAAGGCCUUAUUAAUUAACGGUAGCUUACUGAUAGUAGCUAAGAAACACACUAUAUAAUAACCUUCGUCAAGAAUGCAGAACCCAUCUAAGCAAAGCGCACAAAACAACAGAUAGGAUUGAACAACAAUGGCAACUCAGGCCACGCCCAUUGUAGUGCCCACCGAUGCUGAACUGCUGCAGGCACAGGCCGACCUAUGGCGCCACAGCCUCUACUACCUCAAAUCCAUGGCACUGAAGUGUGCCGUGGAGCUCGGCAUACCUACAGCCAUCUACCGCCUAGGCGGUAGUGCCUCGAUUCCUGACCUGAUCACCGCACUGUCACUGCCCGUAGCUAAGCAACAAUUCCUCAGUCGCCUCAUGAGGCUCCUUGCCUCAUCCGGUGUCUUCAGCGUGGUUGACUCCACUGAGGCUACCUACUCCCUCACCCCAUUGUCAUACCUCCUGGUUGACGGCAUUGAAGCCGAUGACCAUAUCAACCAUGCACCUUUCCUGCUCACUGUAACCGCGACACACUACAUUGACCUAGCAAUGGGGCUAGCUCACUGGUUCAAGCAGGAUGCCAAGAAACCACCCUUUGAUCAUGUGCACGGAGCAUCGCUGUUUGAGGAGAGCAUGGAGCGCAAGCAUCCUGAGUUCCACAAGAUGGCAAUGCAAGGUUUAAUUGUCCAUGACAAUUUCGGAACGAACAUUGCGCUGCGGGAGUUGAGUGACAUAUACCAGGGGAUAAAUUCAUUGACUGACUGUUGCUACCAUGGGGACGGAAUGACGGCAAAGGCCAUUGUCAAGGCCUUUCCACACAUGAAGGUCACUGUGCUAGACCUUCCACAAGAGAUUCGAAAAAUACCAACUGAUGGUGUUGUUAACUAUGUUGGAGGUGACAUGUUCAAGUCCAUCCCACGUGCUCAAGUGGUGCUGCUUAAGGUAUGAGUGCAAUAACAGUUUCAUUGCAAAAAAAUCAGUUGACACAUUAAUUUAAUUAGACAAAAAAAUUGAAAUAGACUGGUCAAUGUACUAGCAUCUUUCAUUUAUAGAAAAAUCAUCAAUAUUAUUGGUAUCUAUACUGUAUAAGAUGAACUUAGCUAAACGCUACAUUUUCGUGAUCUCACCUAACGUUAUUGAACUUUUCCAUUGCAGAUGGUGCUGCAUCACUGGAGUGAUGAGGACUGCGUGAAGAUCCUCGCCAAUUGCAAGAAGGCAAUAGCUUCACGAGAAGAGGGAGGAAAAGUUUUGAUUGGAGAUAUAGUUCUCGACCCUGCUUCAGAACCUGUAAUGUUUGAGACCCAUCUCUUGAUGGACGUCUGCAUGAUGCUUAUGAAAGGAGGCCGGCAACGCGACUUAAAUGACUGGCGUGACAUCUUCAUCAAAGCAGGGUUCAGCGACUUCAAGCUUGUCAAGAAAUUUGGAGCUCGAGGUGUCUUGGAGGCCUACCCGUAAGAUUUCUCCUGGACAUUCUUAUAUUGCGGUUGGGCACCAUAAACCUAUAGUGAAUAAAUAAAAAGAGUGCCAUAAUUUUCGAACUAUCGUUUCACGGAACAUGAUCAAGCAGCUUGUUGCUGAGGUUACAAAGCUGGUUUGCUUCAUGAUCUGUAUACUUUCAUUUCGAAAAGUAUAUCUACAAUCUACAACUUGCUCAUAUAUUGUAUGUGUAUGGUAUUGAUAUCCACCAACUGGAGUUGGAUGUGUGUAAUGCCCCUGUUUGCCCCUGUUUCUCAGAAAAGCAACCAUUGUACACUACGGGAAAUAUAAUAUGCAUAAUGGUUGCUCUCCCACCUUCAUGAGGACAGCCUAUUGGAUGACUCGCAUCGGGUGCCAUCAAAGAACCCAUUAACUACUAUAUUCAUGGACUGGAAGGAAAUGAGGCAAUCAUCUAGCUACUACGUUUUUGGGUGCCUUGAUACAAAGCGCCUUCAUGCUAUUAUAUAGGCACUUACCAUAAGUACCAGUAAACAAUUAACUCAUACAUCUCGUAGCCAAUGAACUAUGAAUCAGCAGAAAAUCAUUAUUUUGUUUGAUCAACUAAAGCGCACGACCUGUGACGUUUGGCACUUAGCCCAAGCAUUACACCGAUAUGUGAUUUAGGUAAUACUCCCACAGUACAUUAUGCAUAACCAACACCUUAAAUUUUGUACAAUCAGACUUUUCGUGAUUUGAUCACUAUUUGUAUAAACUUAUGUCACUAUCAUGAAAACACCUCAGAGAUGCACAUUUUCUUGGUACCUGCUCCCACUCUACUAUAACACCUCUCCGUCCCAUCCAAGCAGUUGGCCUCUUAUUUCUUUUUGGUGUAUGUUUCUCAGCCUCGUUCAUGGUGUCUACCUCCAUGCGAAACACGGGUUCAAAUAAGUGUGCAGGUGCAGUAUCUAUGAAAUAAAGGCAGCAAGUUCUCCCAGUUCACAAGAGAAAAUAUCGUUUAUAAUUAUGGUAAUAAAAUAAUGUAGGUCUCAGGACAAACAACCAUAUGUACUCGCACUUACAAAUGUGAUUGCUUCUUGUAAUCCCAAAUUAGUAAUCGUCAGUGCAUGACUUAAAUUAGUAAACAAUUAACUCAUACUCCCUCCAUCCCACAAAGAGUUAUUUUAAAAAAUUUCAGACAGUAUAGUAGUGGUGAGAAAUGUAUAUGUUGCCCCUAAUAACUAAUACUAGUUGUCAUUAAAAAUCAUGCGGUGUGUUUAGUUUCUCGAUCCUAAAUAAAUGCACGCAUUGAAAUCAGAGAAAUAACACCAAUUGAUUAUUUGAUUGGCUCUACACACUUCUCCAUACUUUUUUAUUAUUGGUGUGAGUGUUGUUUUAGUUAGAUGAGAUUUAUUAGGAGGUAAAGGACACUCUUCGUGGGACAAAUUGUAGAAUCUAAAAGGACACUCUUUGCGGGAUGUAGGGAGUAUAUCUCAUAGACAAUGAACUAUAUGAAUCAGCAGUAACCAUUGUUUGAUCAACUAAAGCAUGACCUAUCAUAUAAGGCUAAUUUAAAUUCUGAUCAAUCAGACAUUUCAUGAUUUGACUAUUUGUAUUUCUAAUUCUGGAGAGUGGAUAUAAGAAACUAUGUCACUAUUAUGAAAACACCCUGAGAGAUGCACAUUUUCUAGAUACCUACUCCCACUCUACUAUGACACCUCUCCAUGCCCUCCAAGCAGCUGGCCUCUAAUUUCUCCUGGAUGUAAGGUUUCUUAGCCUCAUUCGUGGUGUCUCUGUCCACGCGAAACACGCGUGUGCAGAUACAUGUACAGAUGCACUAUCGCUUUCCUGACAUAGAGUCCUGAUCCGUCCAUAGAACCAUCUGUGUCCUCGUGGUCCACGGGAGGAUAGCUAAGGCCUUAUUAAUUAACGGUAGCUUACUGAUAGUAGCUAAGAAACACACUAUAUAAUAACCUUCGUCAAGAAUGCAGAACCCAUCUAAGCAAAGCGCACAAAACAACAGAUAGGAUUGAACAACAAUGGCAACUCAGGCCACGCCCAUUGUAGUGCCCACCGAUGCUGAACUGCUGCAGGCACAGGCCGACCUAUGGCGCCACAGCCUCUACUACCUCAAAUCCAUGGCACUGAAGUGUGCCGUGGAGCUCGGCAUACCUACAGCCAUCUACCGCCUAGGCGGUAGUGCCUCGAUUCCUGACCUGAUCACCGCACUGUCACUGCCCGUAGCUAAGCAACAAUUCCUCAGUCGCCUCAUGAGGCUCCUUGCCUCAUCCGGUGUCUUCAGCGUGGUUGACUCCACUGAGGCUACCUACUCCCUCACCCCAUUGUCAUACCUCCUGGUUGACGGCAUUGAAGCCGAUGACCAUAUCAACCAUGCACCUUUCCUGCUCACUGUAACCGCGACACACUACAUUGACCUAGCAAUGGGGCUAGCUCACUGGUUCAAGCAGGAUGCCAAGAAACCACCCUUUGAUCAUGUGCACGGAGCAUCGCUGUUUGAGGAGAGCAUGGAGCGCAAGCAUCCUGAGUUCCACAAGAUGGCAAUGCAAGGUUUAAUUGUCCAUGACAAUUUCGGAACGAACAUUGCGCUGCGGGAGUUCAGUGACAUAUUCCAGGGGAUAAAUUCAUUGACUGACUGUUGCUACCAUGGGGACGGAAUGACGGCAAAGGCCAUUGCCAAGGCCUUUCCACACAUGAAGGUCACUGUGCUAGACCUUCCACAAGAGAUUCGAAAAAUACCAACUGAUGGUGUUGUUAACUAUGUUGGAGGUGACAUGUUCAAGUCCAUCCCACGUGCUCAAGUGGUGAUGCUUAAGGUAUGAGUGCAAUAACAGUUUCAUUGCAAAAAAAUCAGUUGACACAUUAAUUUAAUUAGACAAAAAAAUUGAAAUAGACUGGUCAAUGUACUAGCAUCUUUCAUUUAUAGAAAAAUCAUCAAUAUUAUUGGUAUCUAUACUGUAUAAGAUGAACUUAGCUAAACGCUACAUUUUCGUGAU